RNAcentral lists this unclassified non-coding RNA (328 nucleotides) under soil metagenome. Its description in RNAcentral is "partial contains 5.8S ribosomal RNA, internal transcribed spacer 2, and large subunit ribosomal RNA". The stretch from base 1 to 120 matches the Rfam family "5.8S ribosomal RNA", at positions 35 to 154 of the family's 154-position model. The record is from RNAcentral.
GAUGAAGAACGUAGCGAAAUGCGAUAAGUAGUGUGAAUUGCAGAAUUCAGUGAAUCAUCGAAUCUUUGAACGCACAUUGCGCCCUUUGGUAUUCCUUAGGGCAUGCCUGUUCGAGCGUCAUUUGACCCCUCAAGCUCAGCUUGGUGUUGGGGCCUGCUGCACUGGCAGCCCUUAAAAUCAGUGGCGGCGCCAUCUGGCUCUAAGCGUAGUAAUUCUUCUCGCUAUGGAGUCCUGGUGGAUGCUUGCCAUCAACCCCCAAUUUUUCUAUGGUUGACCUCGGAUCAGGUAGGGAUACCCGCUGAACUUAAGCAUAUCAAUAAGCGGAGGA